RNAcentral lists this ribosomal RNA (406 nucleotides) under uncultured bacterium. RNAcentral's name for it is "partial 16S ribosomal RNA". It matches the Rfam family "Bacterial small subunit ribosomal RNA", at positions 29 to 526 of the family's 1533-position model. The record is from RNAcentral.
AUUGAACGCUGGCGGCAGGCUUAACACAUGCAAGUCGAGCGAGCGGCGGACGGGUGAGUAAUGUCUGGGAAACUGCCUGAUGGAGGGGGAUAACUACUGGAAACGGUAGCUAAUACCGCAUACCAUCAGAUGUGCCCAGAUGGGCUUAGCUAGUAGGUGGGGUAAGGGCUCACCUAGGCGACGAUCCCUGGCUGGUCUGAGAGGAUGACCAGCAACACUGGAACGGGGACACGGUCCAGACUCCUACGGGAGGCAGCAGUGGGGAAUAUUGCACAAUGGGAGCAAGCCUGAUGCAGCCAGGCCGCGUGUGUGAAGAAGGCCUGCGGGUGGUAAAGCACUUUCAGCGAGGAGGCGUUACUCGCAGAAGAAGCACCGGCUAACUCCGUGCCAGCAGCCGCGGUAAUAC